RNAcentral lists this unclassified non-coding RNA (301 nucleotides) under Hevea brasiliensis (rubber tree). Lineage: Eukaryota; Viridiplantae; Streptophyta; Magnoliopsida; Malpighiales; Euphorbiaceae. The record is from RNAcentral.
AGGUGGUAUGAGUGUUGUUGGUAAUGCGGGCUAUAGCAAUAAUGCUAGUGGCGUUGGAGGUUCUAUUCCUGGGCUUCUCCCAACUUCUGCAGGAAUUGGUAAUCGAAGCUCUGUGCCAGGUCUUGGGGUAUCCCAAAUUUUAGGAAAUGCAGGCCCAAGGAUGACCAAUUCAGUGGGAAAUAUUGUUGGUGGGGGCAACAUUGGCAGAAGCAUUAGCUCUGGUGCAGGAUUGUCUGUGACUAAUCUUGCUUCACGGUUAAAUAUGAACGCCAAUGCCGGUUCUGGAAAUUUAAAUGUUCAA